This is a long non-coding RNA of Leopardus geoffroyi (Geoffroy's cat), 6609 nucleotides long. RefSeq lists it as uncharacterized. The record is from RefSeq and is a predicted model, not a curated record. Lineage: Eukaryota; Metazoa; Chordata; Mammalia; Carnivora; Felidae. The transcript has 2 exons.
AUACUUUUGCUAUGAGCACGUCAGCCUACAUUCAUUUGCAUGUACAUCCAUGUACUAAACCGUGUGUAAUAAUGGCUGUGAAAACCUUUAGUGCCCUGCUGUGAUUCCUUUUACUUUAGUAUAUUUACUGCGUGGUCUUAAAGGGAAAAUAUCUCUAGACCAGUGGUUCUCAACCACGUAUAAAUUGCCCCUCGGCAGAUGUUUGGCGGUGUCCGUAGACAUUUUUGAUUGUCACGAUUGAGCAGGAGGGGAGUGGGGAUGGUGGUUGUUGCUACUGGCAUUUCGUGGGUAGAGAGCUGGGAGGUUGCCUAAACAUCCUACGAUGCACAGAACAGCACUCCAACAACAACAAAAUCAUUUGGGUAUAAACUGUCAAUAGUGCUGAGUUUGAGAAACCCGGAGUUUAAGAACUCAGGGUUCCAGAUUCCUAUUUCAAAGCAUCUUUCCAGCAUGAGGUUCCAAAACUUUCAGGAUCAUUCAAAACAUACUUGUUUUGGUCAUGUGGUUAUCAUCCUUAUUAAGGGAAAAGACUACAUCUUUGAUAACACAUAAUAGAUAUGUAAAAGGUGAGACAAGUUGGAAUGUAUCCCCGGUGUCACUUUUCAUUUUUAUUCCACAGAUAGGCAUAUUUAAAUGCUUUAUUGUGUUACAUUAAUCAGCGAGUCAGUAAACUUUGGUCCACCUUUCUCCUGAUGGAUAAUUUGAAGUCUCUCUCAUUUAUUUUUGGUUAUAUAAAAAUUAUUAACCCAUGGUGCCAGGUUUGCUCUGCAAAAUGCCCAGUCUUUAAGCCGAAGACACGUAGUUCCAGCUCUCACAAAUCAAAUUACAGAAAAGCAGCGGGCUUGGCUUGACUUCAUUCAGUGGAUAAAACUACCCUAGACCUUAAUAAACUAUUCCAGGAAGAGGAGCCUUGGCCCUAUUUAACCAGGCCAUCAGACAGUAUAAAGCCAUUGACUUGGGGAUUUUUGUUUCCCCAGCAGACGGACAUUCUUGGUUGCGAUUUGCUUGGACUAAAAAAUAGUUUUUAAAUUCCUUUGUCUUACCCCAUUUCACACCAACAGACAGUAAGAGACAGAGACAGAAAGCCUCGAAUACCAUGGUAUAAUCUGCAUAGAGAUAACUGAGCCUUGGCUCUGAUUUUGAGGUGUUUCCCAAUGAUAAACACCUCGUCAUGAAGUGCUUCACAUCGGGCUUCUACUCUAUAGCUAGUCCUGCAUUGGGAUCAUCUCUUUAAAUGCACCUGAGGAAUGCAAGCAUAUCGCAGUGUAUUCAUUCUAUGCACAGAUAAAAAGAGAUUUUAAUCUUGGGUGUUCCUCCAACUAGUUACAUGAUGUUCAGAUCACUGGGACGAGCCUCCCUCUGCUUUCGUUUCCUCAUAUGUACCCUGGGGAUCUGGUUGUUAAGUCCUGUGGAGACAUUCGCUUAUGGAGCUUAACCCAUAAUACAGGGCCAGGUGGAAGAGGAAGCCUCACAGUCAAGGCCUCCUGGCAAUCUCCUCUCUGCUGGUCAUCUUACGUGGCCCUACUGGUUCUUCCAGCCACCACUUUUGAUUCUCACCUUAUGUGUUGCCGUUUUGUUUUUUUCAUUCUGAGUCCUGAUUCCCUUGUGAGAUCCCAUUUCCUAUUUGCCACAUUCACUUUGCACACCAUCUUGAUCCCAGCGAGUCUGCUUCUAGCCUGGUAACCCGACCCCAGAUCCUGAUUACAUUCUUGGUUCGUCUCUCAUGACCCUGGACAGGUGCCUGGGUGAUUUGGUUGGCGCAGUUCCCCUAGCCCAGCCCAGCAAGAGGGGCCUGUACCCUGCCUUGAAUGGUAGUGGUGACAGUCAAAAGCCACCCAGAGUGGCUGUGAGAGAAGGACACAGAAGGAGGGACACACAGAAGGAUAACUGCAAACGUGAAAUUAGAGGAAUGCUCAACCACAGUGGCAUGAAGUCUCAGCUCUUUAAAUGAAACUUAUUUCGGUUUUCCAGCCAUGAUUCUACUUCCCAAAAUCUUGAUGUCAGAUCCUAUCAGAUAUGAAGGGACAAAAGAUACUCUUGCUAUUGUUCAUUCUCACCUGUGUCUUCCGCAUGCGACUCAACAAUGACUCUUCUGGUGGCGGCGAGCAGGAGGGCUGCACGGGGCUGAGGGAGAACUCACCUGCCAGCUCCUGCCCUCCCUCAUCUGUACACGUGGUGUUAGAGCGGUUCCUGUUCCUUUGGAAGGUCUGUUCCCCAAAGAAUAUUUCCCCUGGUACCGCGGGUCCGGUGUUUCUUACAGCUCCUUCUCCACCUUCCUGUCUUCGCUUUUCCAAGUCAGAUGUGCAACAUGAAGUCCCAGAGGCACAUUUCCACUUAGUUGUGGUUCUCUUCUUCAGAAAUGUAGAACCUACAGGCACUCUUUACAACAGCUACUAGAGCUUUGGGAUUCGUUUAAUUUACUUUUUCCGGAGCGUUUUCCUCAGGCCGUUACUCUCUUCCUCCCCAGGCUGCUUGCCCCUUGUCUCUUAGCAUUACUGCCUGCACUCGUGGCUCCUUGGCGGAUAUGACCUUGUCUGUGAAUCAUGGGGCUAGAUGCUAUUUCCUGCUCCAUCAUCAACACGCAGCCUGCCUUUACAUAUAUUAUUCUCACCCUUCUGCUUCUUUCUUGUGUCUAAAACAAACGUAGGACUUGCUGCAUCAAAGUGAAGCUUGGUUGGACAAUGUGUUUUGUUCUGUCACGCAGUUAAGCAUCUGACACUCACCUUUUUUCAGUGUCUGCCUGCUUGGUUACAGCACCCAAGGGGCCACUUGUUCCCUUGUUUCUUUCCGUGAAGACAGGGAAGUGAAUACAGGGUGGCAGAGACUUACUGAAAGAACAUUGCAGUGAAUUAUUCUGAGAUCUCAAGAACAUGAACAAGGAAGGAAGUGCCUAGGGAUAGAGCCAGUCUUCCAUGGCUGGCCCCGCUGCUCCAUGGAGGGUGAGCACCUGUCAGGACACCGGAUGACAUCCCUGCUCUCCUUCCUUUCUCCCCCUUUCCCAGGCCCGGGAAGAACUCGGUCACUAGGGCAGGUGCUGGUAAUAAUUCUGAGCAUUUUGGAUGCCAGAGGAAAGAGGCGCUUCUCUCUCGAGGCAGGCGGCUCUGACCUCACACUUUGCUAGAGUGUGCGGAAGCAAGAAUGUCCUCGGGGAAAACAUUGUACGUAUUCUGGGUUCUCUCAGGAGCCUCUGCAACCUCCCAGCAUUCUGACGGUUUCAGGAGUGGGGACGGGGCCGUGAUCAUGGCUGUGGAGAGUUUUUGUCCACUUCUUCCUUCUUUCUUUCCUUCCUUCAUCCAUAUCAACAUACUGCAAGACUUGGAACCAUGCGAGAAUCAGGGAGUGCUCCCGUCCAAAAACUGUGUUCGGGAAGGUUUCCUGGCCAACAUGUGAGAAUUAUCUGUAGUGGUUAUGGAGGUAAUUCCAUGUUUGCCGAGCUCUGGAGGGACAUGUCACCUUUAAGCCAGCACCUUCUGAGAAUGCUGGGUGACAAGAGAACCAGACAGCAAAGCACGGUAACACAGAAUAACAGCAACCACUGGGAAAAACAUCAGCUCUUCUUCAUGGUCCCAGGCAAUGGCACUCUAAGUAGAUAUGAGAGGAGGCACCGGCCCACGGUAGUAGGAUCGCUGCUCGGAAGUGGAGGGUAUUGAGGUCUGUGACUCCCAAGGCAAGUGAGGGAGCGUGUGAUCAUAUGAGAAGCUGUCUUUUCUCAUUACCCGUAAAUCCUUGGUAAGCGACCCUUUGAGUCAUCCGGCCUGGACCGCAAGCCCGGUCUCCGUGGCAAAAUAUCUGUUGCUCUAAAUCUGACCAUUUGGGCUGUUCCAUUUAAUUUUUUAUCUUCUCUGCCCCUGACCUAAUCACUUUAACCCAAUGCAACUGAGUUCUGGGUUUAUUGAGAACCUGUAUGUGCUUAGGACUAUGAUAGGUCCCAGGGGACAGAAAUGGGUCCAUAACUCAGGCUUGCUCUGAAGACACUUAGAGCCUGGCAUAAGAGUUGGCAAACUCUACCCUGCAGGCCAAAUCCCACCCUCAGCCUGUUUUCAUACGGCCCUAAGCUAAAAGUGGUUUUUGUGUUUUUAAAGAGUUAUUGGAAGUGGGAGGAGAAAGAAUAGGCAACAGAGGUGGUAAAGCCUAAAAUACUGACUCGUUGACCCUGUACCAAAAAUGUGUGCAACCCCUGGUCUGGUUGAUGAGAAAGGAGGUCAGAUAAUGGUGAAUCACGGUGGUGUAUCUUUUUAAGACAACUAGCUUGUGAGCGUGCCUACCAUAUGCCAGGUACAAAGAGCGGGCAGGGAGAGAGCUUCAUACGUUUUAUAUGUAAGAGAGAGAUGGAGAAAAAGAGAGACCCUCCCUAAUCAAGUCUGGUGAGAGAGACAGACAAUAAAGAACUAAAACUAUCAACUGUAUAAAUUUCAAAGGCUGACAAGUGAUAUAAUGGAACAAAGCAGGGGGCUGCAAAAGAGACCGAGGGAAGGUGGUGUUAGGCCGGUCGGGAAAGACUAGUUCCUCGGCAAAGUAGGGUGGGCUCAUGUCCUCGCCACAGAAUCAACAUCGUGUCUUUAUAGCGACAAGCGAGAUGGCUACUAAUUCGGUAAAAACCAACAUCGUGCGGUUUUUCAAAACUUGCUUACUUUUUGGAUACAAGUCACAUUGUUAUAUAAAUAAAUAGAUUUGAAGAACAAAUCAGAAUCACUAAAGUGAUUAAAAUUGGAACCACAAUGUUAGAAUUCAUUUCAGUGUUAGAAUUCAUUUCAAAGUGAAUCUAGAGAAAGUGUAAUAUUAUUUUAGAAUUAAUAUGAUUACCUCAGAUGAGGCAUCUAUGAAGAUUUGUGGCUUAAUUUUCUCAUUUCUGGUAGGAAUGAUAGCUAUCAAAGUAGCAGGAGCUAAAAUUGAUUAUGAAUAAAAAGUAAAAUUAAUCAGUUCUCUAUUGUUCAAAGAGAUAAAAGAAUAUGGAAAAAGAUAAAAGAAAAUCUACUUUCUAAAUGCCUUUUUGCUUUGAUUAAGAGAACUACUGGUCCUUCAGAUACUUUAAACAUUUUGGUUAAUUUUUUUCCCGGACUUCCUUGAAAGUGGUUAGCUGUGGUGGGUAAAGCGGUUUUCAUCCUUUGAUUAUAUACAGAAGCACACCCUGUUCACAGUUUACAACCUGAAAACUCUAGAACUUUAGCGACCACUGUCACCAUUUUGAUUCAAAUUGAAAGUCCGGUUUCAUCUUCAGAGUCUACUUCUUUCUAGAAAAGUCUUUUUCUGUAAUUUCUGGCUCUGGUUUGAGCAUUUAUUUCAUUAAUCUUUAAAAUAUUCUUGGGAAUAUCCUUUUCAUUCUAAUACCUCGGAUUUAUGUGACUCCUUUUUAAUGACCUUGAAGGACUUCUCAUAAGGAAGGAGGUUGAAAUCGGAUGCACGAUCACCAUGCGGUGAUUUCUUUCCCUAUUCUCUCUCAUAUAUAUUGUGUGAGUCCUCUCAGUUGUAAUUGUUGGAUUAAAGUAAUUGCUAAGGUGAGUUUAUCCAGUCAGAGAAAGGGCAUUAAAAUUCAGUGAUUUUGACUUAAAAUUGUACGCAGCUGCUUUGAAAUGAAUACAUGGUAACCCAAGAAGGCAUGUAACUCAGUGAAAGGAAGUGGUUUACAAAGAAUAACUUUUAGAGUAUUGAUCCAGCUCAGUAUCAUCUUUUCUUAGAAUUAAUUUUAAAGUAUUACUGACAUUGGUGAAACAGGGGCAUUAUUUUGGGGGUAAAACUUUUGCUGUUGUUAAAGAUAAUAUUUACAGUAAUAACAGUUAGCAAGUGUUGAGCAUAUACCAUGCUCUAGACACUUCUCUCAGUGUUUUGCAUAUAUGGUAUUAUGUUGCUUAAUCCACAUAACACUGUUCUGAGGAUAAUUACAAGUAUUACUGCAUUUUACAAAUGACAAAACUGUGGCACAGAAGGAGUAAAUACACUCACUGUGACAGAGCUAGGGUUUGAAAUCCAGGCAUUGAUUCCAGAGCUCACGUGCUAGACUGCAUUACGGUACUAUCGCAGAUGAUUGGUUGGCAGUAUCCCCAAGUAUGUGUUGAAUUUUGAAAGCUUUUGGAGCUUCCCAGAGAACCUGUAAGCUCCAGGAACAGAAGUGUUCACCCAGGCAUGGGGAGAUACGUGUAGACAGUGGACAUCGCACCAAAGACAGUGCCGAUCUGAAGGCAGCAAGGCAGCAAGCUGGUGUCGCUCCUCAGUGGUGAUGACGGUUUGUCCAGCUAUAAACCCCUGGCCAGUGGCGCAAACAUGCCGGCUUGAGUAGGGUUUCGCUCUGUGGCUAUAGAAAGACAUAACUAAUGAGUUAAUUAAAGAAUUAACCGGCUAUUGGCUAUCAAAGACUAGAUUUAACCUGCUUUUAGAUAUAGUUAAUGCGGUCAGUUAUAAUGGCUGAUUAUACAAAGUCCUGCAAAUGCAAACCUACAAGGUUGGAGCCAAAUGGGCACUGGAAGUAUGAGAGCAGCUCAGGUUCUAAGACAAGAAGGAGUGAUAGGAACUCCAUGCUCCUUUGCAGGAUUUUUGUUUCUUUUUUUAAACAGAGUACAGUCCAAACAUUUCUGUGGCCAGGAUUUAUCCUGAUGGCUUAUGAAUCUUCUUUUA